Molecule: non-coding RNA, 112 nt
Organism: Acanthosepion pharaonis
Lineage: Eukaryota; Metazoa; Mollusca; Cephalopoda; Sepiida; Sepiidae
Source: the annotation of a GenBank genome assembly
UAUGACCAUAUCUCGUUGAAAAACCAGUUCCCAUACAAUCACUGUAGUUAAGCAACAUUGAGCCUGGUCAUUACCUAGAUGGGUGACUGCUUGGAAAUACCAAGUGUUGUAA